RNAcentral lists this non-coding RNA (190 nucleotides) under Geobacillus sp. Its description in RNAcentral is "Lysine sequence". It matches the Rfam family "Lysine riboswitch aptamer". From Rfam's summary of the family: Riboswitches are metabolite binding domains within certain messenger RNAs that serve as precision sensors for their corresponding targets. Allosteric rearrangement of mRNA structure is mediated by ligand binding, and this results in modulation of gene expression. Lineage: Bacteria; Bacillati; Bacillota; Bacilli; Caryophanales; Anoxybacillaceae. The record is from RNAcentral.
CAUUGAAGUAGAGGUCGCAGCUUUUAUGAGUACGGUAAACGAGACGCAGAGCACGUCAACGACUUUACCGGAAAGGAAAAGCUGCCGAAGUCUGGGCAUUUCUCUGGGUGCUCAGGCUGGGGUUGUCACCGAAUAGGGGCAACACUGUCAUACCCGCAUGAAUUUGCGGGUAUGGAGCGCUAUCUUCAUG